Molecule: ribosomal RNA, 482 nt
Filed under: uncultured bacterium
Lineage: Bacteria
Description: partial 16S ribosomal RNA
Rfam family: Bacterial small subunit ribosomal RNA
Source: RNAcentral
AUUGAACGCUGGCGGCAUGCUUUACACAUGCAAGUCGAACGGCAGCGCGGGGCAACCUGGCGGCGAGUGGCGAACGGGUGAGUAAUAUAUCGGAACGUACCCAGAAGUGGGGGAUAACGUAGCGAAAGUUACGCUAAUACCGCAUACGAUCUACGGAUGAAAGCAGGGGACCGCAAGGCCUUAUGCUUUUGGAGCGGCCGAUAUCUGAUUAGCUAGUUGGUGAGGUAAAGGCUCACCAAGGCGACGAUCAGUAGCUGGUCUGAGAGGACGACCAGCCACACUGGAACUGAGACACGGUCCAGACUCCUACGGGAGGCAGCAGUGGGGAAUUUUGGACAAUGGGCGCAAGCCUGAUCCAGCAAUGCCGCGUGAGUGAAGAAGGCCUUCGGGUUGUAAAGCUCUUUUGUCAGGGAAGAAACGGUAGAGGCUAAUAUCCUUUGCUAAUGACGGUACCUGAAGAAUAAGCACCGGCUAACUACGUG